RNAcentral lists this ribosomal RNA (473 nucleotides) under Edwardsiella tarda. Its description in RNAcentral is "bacterial SSU rRNA". It matches the Rfam family "Bacterial small subunit ribosomal RNA", at positions 54 to 514 of the family's 1533-position model. Lineage: Bacteria; Pseudomonadati; Pseudomonadota; Gammaproteobacteria; Enterobacterales; Hafniaceae. The record is from RNAcentral.
CAUGCAAGUCGAGCGGUAGCAGGGAGAAAGCUUGCUUUCUCCGCUGACGAGCGGCGGACGGGUGAGUAAUGUCUGGGGAUCUGCCUGAUGGAGGGGGAUAACUACUGGAAACGGUAGCUAAUACCGCAUAACGUCGCAAGACCAAAGUGGGGGACCUUCGGGCCUCAUGCCAUCAGAUGAACCCAGAUGGGAUUAGCUAGUAGGUGGGGUAAUGGCUCACCUAGGCGACGAUCCCUAGCUGGUCUGAGAGGAUGACCAGCCACACUGGAACUGAGACACGGUCCAGACUCCUACGGGAGGCAGCAGUGGGGAAUAUUGCACAAUGGGCGCAAGCCUGAUGCAGCCAUGCCGCGUGUAUGAAGAAGGCCUUCGGGUUGUAAAGUACUUUCAGUAGGGAGGAAGGUGUGAACGUUAAUAGCGCUCACAAUUGACGUUACCUACAGAARAAGCACCGGCUAACUCCGUGCCAGCAG